Molecule: long non-coding RNA, 1100 nt
Organism: Felis catus (domestic cat)
Lineage: Eukaryota; Metazoa; Chordata; Mammalia; Carnivora; Felidae
Exons: 2
Source: RefSeq, a predicted model, not a curated record
CUGAGAAUUUGGUGAAAGCUAUGUGCUGUGCAAUGAAAAUGUAGUCUUUGCACGGGGUCGACAGACCCCUUGGAACUAUCGAUUUCCGCCCCCACACAUACUCCGAGAAGUUACGGCCCUCAGAUAAUGACCCCCAGAUCCAAGCUUUGGAGAGAGGACUCGACCAGCCCCGGACCCAGUAGGCUGCAGCGGAGCCUCGGAGCCGUAACCAAAACAAAGGAGCUCGGCCCAUGCCCGGCGACUCCCGGUCACAGAAGCAUCCACACCCUGCGCUCCGCUGGGUGGCCACCAAACCCGAUCCCAGGACCUGGUCUGCAAAACAAGGGGUGUAGAACUGUGGCCUCUAGGUCCCCCUAGAUUUUAUCACAGCCACCGGACACUUCCAAAAAAGGGUUUAACGUCGGUCAGGGAGCUGUGGUUGAAAGACGGUUUCUUAAACGUGAUAGGAAGCUAGGGGAAAAGGAGACAGGCAAAGCUAAAGAGGGAGAUCCGGCAGUUUUCACUUGGGCAUCCAAAAUUCGAAGUAAACAUCCAAGAAAGGUCACCGCAGCCCGAAAUCUACCACCCAAGCAGCUUCAGAAGCGCGGGAGCCAGGGAGCCCGGCCACGCGAAGGACCCUGGGGAUGUAGUCCCCAGGUCGACCCUUUCCGCAAAUCCGCAGAACUAGGCAACACUCAGGAACUACAACUCCCAGAAGGGAGCGCGCCUCCGCGACGCCCACAGUCCCGCAUCGAAAGAACUGGUACAGAACUGCACACCUAAACCCAGGCUCCUUCUCUCCACCAGCACAAAAGUAACAUCUAAGGAGCGAGGUCAUCAUGAACAUUUUCUAAGACCACUGACUCCAGACACCUUGACACCAGGACCACUGGCUCCAAGGCAUAAACGACUCAUGAAGGACACCUGAGCACUUGCCCUUAUUUUGACCAGUUCCUGGAUGCCUGACAGAACAUGUACACCAGACCAACAUCCUCAGUAAAAACUCCAGACCCCAAGCAAAGAUGAGACUCAUUCUCCUUUUCCUUUCUGAGUCUCCUAGAUGCUCGGUCUGUAUCUGCCCUCUCUAGAUCUUCAAUAAAUGCUACUUUCACUUCUUCCCA